CAGGGAAUUUUGCACAAUGGACGAAAGUUCUGAUGCAGCGACGCCGCGUGGGGGAUGAAUGCCUUCGGGUUGUAAACCCCUUUCAGGAGGGACGAAGCGAAAGUGACGGUACCUCCAGAAGAAGCCCCGGCCAACUACGUGCCAGCAGCCGCGGUAAUACGUAGGGGGCGAACGUUGUCCGGAUUUAUUGGGCGUAAAGAGCUCGUAGGCGGCUCAGCAAGUCGGCCGUGAAAACCCGGGGCUCAACCCCGGGACGCCGGUCGAAACUGCUGUGGCUAGGGUCCGGUAGAGGAGAGUGGAAUUCCCGGUGUAGCGGUGAAAUGUGCAGAUAUCGGGAGGAACACCAGUUGCGAAGGCGGCUCUCUGGGCCGGUACCGACGCUGAGGAGCGAAAGCGUGGGGAGCAAACAGGAUUAGAUACCCUGGUAGUCCACGCCGUAAACGAUGGGCACUAGGUGUGGGAGGUGUCGACUCCUCCCGUGCCGCAGCUAACGCAUUAAGUGCCCCGCCUGGGGAGUACGGUCGCAAGACUA
Molecule: ribosomal RNA, 532 nt
Filed under: uncultured bacterium
Lineage: Bacteria
Description: bacterial SSU rRNA
Rfam family: Bacterial small subunit ribosomal RNA
Source: RNAcentral